GAUGAACGCUGGCGGCGUGCCUAAUACAUGCAAGUCGAGCGAACGGACGAGAAGCUUGCUUCUCUGAUGUUAGCGGCGGACGGGUGAGUAACACGUGGAUAACCUACCUAUAAGACUGGGAUAACUUCGGGAAACCGGAGCUAAUACCGGAUGAUAUUUUGAACCGCAUGGUUCAAAAGUGAAAGACGGUCUUGCUGUCACUUAUAGAUGGAUCCGCGCUGCAUUAGCUAGUUGGUAAGGUAACGGCUUACCAAGGCAACGAUGCAUAGCCGACCUGAGAGGGUGAUCGGCCACACUGGAACUGAGACACGGUCCAGACUCCUACGGGAGGCAGCAGUAGGGAAUCUUCCGCAAUGGGCGAAAGCCUGACGGAGCAACGCCGCGUGAGUGAUGAAGGUCGUCGGAUCGUAAAACUCUGUUAUUAGGGAAGAACAUAUGUGUAAGUAACUGUGCACAUCUUGACGGUACCUAAUCAGAAAGCCACGGCUAACUACG
This 495-nucleotide ribosomal RNA is filed under the name uncultured bacterium. RNAcentral describes it as "partial 16S ribosomal RNA". It matches the Rfam family "Bacterial small subunit ribosomal RNA", at positions 28 to 505 of the family's 1533-position model. The record is from RNAcentral.